This 305-nucleotide ribosomal RNA is filed under the name uncultured bacterium. RNAcentral describes it as "bacterial SSU rRNA". It matches the Rfam family "Bacterial small subunit ribosomal RNA", at positions 337 to 640 of the family's 1533-position model. The record is from RNAcentral.
UCCUACGGGAGGCAGCAGUGAGGAAUAUUGGUCAAUGGGCGAGAGCCUGAACCAGCCAAGUCGCGUGAAGGAUGAAGGAUCUAUGGUUUGUAAACUUCUUUUAUAUGGGAAUAAAGUGAGGAACGUGUUCCUUUUUGUAUGUACCAUAUGAAUAAGCAUCGGCUAACUCCGUGCCAGCAGCCGCGGUAAUACGGAGGAUGCGAGCGUUAUCCGGAUUUAUUGGGUUUAAAGGGUGCGUAGGCGGACUGUUAAGUCAGCGGUAAAAGCCCGGGGCUCAACCCCGGCGAGCCGUUGAAACUGGCUGU